RNAcentral lists this ribosomal RNA (253 nucleotides) under uncultured bacterium. RNAcentral's name for it is "partial 16S ribosomal RNA". It matches the Rfam family "Bacterial small subunit ribosomal RNA", at positions 524 to 776 of the family's 1533-position model. The record is from RNAcentral.
UACGUAGGGUGCAAGCGUUAAUCGGAAUUACUGGGCGUAAAGCGUGCGCAGGCGGUUAUGCAAGACAGGGGUGAAAUCCCCGGGCUUAACCUGGGAACUGCGCUUGUAACUGGCAAGCUAGAGUGUGGCAGAGGGGGGUGGAAUUCCACGUGUAGCAGUGAAAUGCGUAGAUAUGUGGAGGAACACCGAUGGCGAAGGCAGCCCCCUGGGCUAACACUGACGCUCAUGCACGAAAGCGUGGGGAGCAAACAGG